Molecule: ribosomal RNA, 492 nt
Filed under: uncultured bacterium
Lineage: Bacteria
Description: partial 16S ribosomal RNA
Rfam family: Bacterial small subunit ribosomal RNA
Source: RNAcentral
AGUGAACGCUGGCAGUAGGCCUAACACAUGCAAGUCGAACGGCAGCACAGUAAGAGCUUGCUCUUACGGGUGGCGAGUGGCGGACGGGUGAGGAAUACAUCGGAAUCUACUUUUUCGUGGGGGAUAACGUAGGGAAACUUACGCUAAUACCGCAUACGACCUACGGGUGAAAGCAGGGGAUCUUCGGACCUUGCGCGAUUGAAUGAGCCGAUGUCGGAUUAGCUAGUUGGCGGGGUAAGGGCCCACCAAGGCGACGAUCCGUAGCUGGUCUGAGAGGAUGAUCAGCCACACUGGAACUGAGACACGGUCCAGACUCCUACGGGAGGCAGCAGUGGGGAAUAUUGGACAAUGGGCGCAAGCCUGAUCCAGCCAUACCGCGUGGGUGAAGAAGGCCUUCGGGUUGUAAAGCCCUUUUGUUGGGAAAGAAAAGCAGCAGGUUAAUACCCCGCUGUUCUGACGGUACCCAAAGAAUAAGCACCGGCUAACUUCGUG